This 240-nucleotide unclassified non-coding RNA is filed under the name soil metagenome. RNAcentral's name for it is "partial contains 5.8S ribosomal RNA, internal transcribed spacer 2, and large subunit ribosomal RNA". The record is from RNAcentral.
AACCAUAGAAACCUGCGGAGUACCUGCGGAGGGAUCAUUACAGAGUUGCAAGACUCCCUAAACCAUUGUGAACGUUACCUAAACCGUUGCUUCGGCGGGCGGCCCGGGUCCUUCCCGGCGCCCAUCGGCCCUCGCGGGCGCCCGCCGGAGGUAAACCAAACUAUUGCAUUGUAUGGCCUCUCUGAGUCUUCUGUACUGAAUAAGUCAAAACUUUCAGCAACGGAUCUCAGAUCGGAAGAG